This 254-nucleotide ribosomal RNA is filed under the name uncultured bacterium. Its description in RNAcentral is "partial 16S ribosomal RNA". It matches the Rfam family "Bacterial small subunit ribosomal RNA", at positions 524 to 776 of the family's 1533-position model. The record is from RNAcentral.
CACGUAGGGUGCGAGCGUUGUCCGGAAUUAUUGGGCGUAAAGAGCUCGUAGGCGGUGUGUCGCGUCGGCCGUGAAAACCUGCAGCUUAACUGCGGGCUUGCGGUCGAUACGGGCAUCACUGGAGUUCGGCAGGGGAGACUGGAAUUCCUGGUGUAGCGGUGAAAUGCGCAGAUAUCAGGAGGAACACCGGUAGCGAAGGCGGUUCUCUGGGCAUUACCUGACGCUGAGGAGCGAAAGUGUGGGGAGCGAACAGG